Molecule: ribosomal RNA, 465 nt
Filed under: uncultured bacterium
Lineage: Bacteria
Description: partial 16S ribosomal RNA
Rfam family: Bacterial small subunit ribosomal RNA
Source: RNAcentral
CCUACGGGAGGCAGCAGUAGGGAAUCUUCCACAAUGGGCGAGAGCCUGAUGGAGCAACGCCGCGUGGGUGAAGAAGGUCUUCGGAUCGUAAAACCCUGUUGUUAGAGAAGUAAGUGCGUGAGAGUAACUGUUCACGUUUCGACGGUAUCUAACCAGAAAGCCACGGCUAACUACGUGCCAGCAGCCGCGGUAAUACGUAGGUGGCAAGCGUUAUCCGGAUUUAUUGGGCGUAAAGGGAACGCAGGCGGUUUUUUAAGUCAGAUGUGAAAGUCUUCGGCUUAACCGGAGUAGUGCAUUGGAUACUGGGAGACUUGAGUGCAGAUGAGGUGAGUGGAACUCCAGGUGUAGCGGUGAAAUGCGUAGAUAUAUGGAAGAACCCCAGUGGCGAAAGCGGCUCUCUGGUCUGUAACUGACACUGAGGUUCGAAAGCGUGGGUAGCAAACAGGAUUAGAUACCCGAGUAGUC